Molecule: long non-coding RNA, 1090 nt
Organism: Solanum lycopersicum (tomato)
Lineage: Eukaryota; Viridiplantae; Streptophyta; Magnoliopsida; Solanales; Solanaceae
Source: RefSeq, a predicted model, not a curated record
UUCAAAUUGUAUAUAAUCAUUCUAUACACUUAUAAUAAUACAAUUCGUUUUAUAUAUUUCGUUUUUAUACAAUUCUCUGCCCAAGUGUCUUUCUCUUUCUUGUUUUAUACAGUUCGCUUUAUACUUUGCUUCAACUAUAUAUGUAUAGCGAAUUAUACAGUUUUGAUGUUUGCUAUGGAGCGUCAUUAUGCAAACUUUGCUAUAGCAUACAAAUAUAAUUUUUUUAUUUGCUAUAUGUGAAAGUUGCCCUAUAAUUAAUCGUCACGCUUUCUCAGUUCCAAACAAUUUAAAAUAAUUAGUUUUAUCAAAAUUUAAAAAAUAAAUAUGGUUUGCAAGUUAUUUUCAAUAGUAUCGUCACUUUUUUUUUAUAAUUUUUAAAUAAUAUAUAUAUUUUACAUAAUUAUGUAUCUUAUUAGUAUAUUUUAUGAAUAUUUGAAAAUUGACUCAAAAAAAUUUAAGUUUUACUUAAAUAUUUGGUUGAUUAGUAUAUCUAAUAUAUAGUUUAUAUUUUUGAGUUAUUAGUUACAAUUAAAUUAAUUAUUUUAUUUGGUAUCAAAUUCAUCCUUAUUUGUAUAUGUUUCCCCCAAAAUGAUCCCGAUCUCAGCCUAUAAAUAUAUCUUUCUUUUAUAUUAUGUAGAGGAGGGGCUUAGAGGUUAGAGACAAGAGAUUUUACAGUCUAAAAACUAGAAGUUUAUUUUUUAAUCGAGAGAACAAAAAAUCGAGAGCUAUUUUUUGUAUUUAUCCUCUUCUUGCUCGAGUUAAGGGCACAGUGGUGGUAGUUCUUCACGGUGAAUCUCAUCGUCUCCGUCAUUGCCGGAAAAGGGACCUUCAAUGAAGAGCCCAAUGCUCCUUGGUGAAAGCUAGAAUGCUCUCUAUAUAUUGAAAAACAGGCUUCCAGAUUCUUCUUAUUCUCUUAAAUCCUGCUUUUAAGUCUACUUCUAGUUCAAAUUCCCUAAAAAAUGAUAAAUCUAGUUUGUUGUGCAUUUCUGUUUCUGUUAUUCAAAGCAAGUUAUGGUAUGUAAGGUUAAGGAAUAUGUCUUUAUCAAAUAUGCAGAAUGUCAAUGGAAUUCCUAUUUCAGAUUGUUCAAAA